Molecule: transfer RNA, 88 nt
Filed under: Acidobacteriota bacterium
Lineage: Bacteria; Pseudomonadati; Acidobacteriota
Also listed under: 1 other name
Description: Acidobacteria bacterium (marine sediment metagenome) tRNA-Tyr
Source: RNAcentral
GGAGCGGUAGACCCGUACGGCGCGGGGACGGAUUGUAGAUCCGUUGUCCUUAAGGACCCACCUGGUCCCAUUCCAGGACGCUCCACCA